AUGGCUCAGAUGAACGCUGCGGCAGGCCUAACACAUGCAAGUCGAACGGUAACAGGAAACAGCUUGCUGUUCGCUGACGAGUGGCGGACGGGUGAGUAAUGUCUGGGAAACUGCCUGAUGGAGGGGGAUAACUACUGGAAACGGUAGCUAAUACCGCAUAACGUCGCAAGACCAAAGAGGGGGACCUUCGGGCCUCUUGCCAUCGGAUGUGCCCAGAUGGGAUUAGCUAGUAGGUGGGGUAACGGCUCACCUAGGCGACGAUCCCUAGCUGGUCUGAGAGGAUGACCAGCCACACUGGAACUGAGACACGGUCCAGACUCCUACGGGAGGCAGCAGUGGGGAAUAUUGCACAAUGGGCGCAAGCCUGAUGCAGCCAUGCCCGCGUGUAUGAAGAAGGCCUUCGGGUUGUAAAGUACUUUCAGCGGGGAGGAAGGGAGUAAAGUUAAUACCUUUGCUCAUUGACGUUACCCGCAGAAGAAGCACCGGCUAACUCCGUGCCAGCCGCCGC
RNAcentral lists this ribosomal RNA (508 nucleotides) under uncultured bacterium. RNAcentral describes it as "bacterial SSU rRNA". It matches the Rfam family "Bacterial small subunit ribosomal RNA", at positions 19 to 518 of the family's 1533-position model. The record is from RNAcentral.